Long non-coding RNA from Mytilus californianus (California mussel), 1645 nucleotides. RefSeq lists it as uncharacterized. NCBI's taxonomy places the organism in Eukaryota, Metazoa, Mollusca, Bivalvia, Mytilida, Mytilidae. The transcript has 13 exons. The record is from RefSeq and is a predicted model, not a curated record.
CACACUUUGACAGAAGUAUGAAUGGAAACAAAGAACGUGGCGGGAGUGAAAGUGAAAUCCUUUGUUCCCACGUGCAUUUGGGGAUGUCAGUAUAUGUGUCAUGCAAGAACCGAAUUCUUUGACGGGUAUUGCCGUUAUGCAAUGUUUCAAAUCUCCAGUGACCGCAAUUGUAUUAACAAGAUGGAGUCAGAUUUCCAUGGUCAAAGUCAUUAGACCUAAAAUUAAAGAAUAUAAGACAUGCUAGACCAAAUGGAUAUUCAAUAAAAUGGUCAUUAAAGUAUAGACAAGUUGAUCUGAUAUAAGCAUGUACCAAAGAGAAGAAACAGAUAUUAGAGACAUCAGAUUUAUCAAAUCACUAAAAGCAACAAAAGCUGCAAAGAGGUUACCUCUUGUCAUGGAGCAUAGAGAAAACAACAGUAUGAUGUAAAAUAAGUAUCGGAGAACAAACAAGAGGGCAGGUGUUACCAGCAACUGUAGCGUUGCCGAACCAAUGUAAAUUGUGUAUUCAUGUUCUAAGAAGACUGAUUUUCCUUUGUUUGAAAAAUGGUUGAUUUAAUUGUGUAUCCAAAUAUAGAGGAAUCGUGGAAUGUAAAAAAGAAGAAGAAACUGUUCAAAUACAGCAGGCUUGCAACUGAAUGGAGGUAUUUAGGGGAUAUGAGAACUGCCAGAUUACAGUCUUUCAGAGGUUACAGUAUUACUUACCAGGGAGCCACACUAGCCCAGAGGUCUAAUUAGUUCACCUACAGUGAUCCUUAGCCAGUCAUCUCUGAGGUUGUGAGUUCCAACCUUGCUUGUGGCAAGUUUACUUACUAUCAAAGGAUGUUAUCCAGUAUUCUGUAAGGGAUUCCAAAGGAGGAACAGACAUAUCAUUUAAUACAUUCUAAGGAGAGUUCACCUAACACUUUCCAUAGACAAAGGUGAUUCCGAGAAAAUCCAGUUCAGAGGUGUGAUGCCUCUACUAUAAAAAGACCUAUGUUGAUUGUCUAAAGGAGGGUCAAGCUGUUAAGUUGAUAAUGGAACUUUCAGAUGCAGAUAUCUGGUAUAAGCUGUUAAAAACAGCUUCUCACUGGUCAUCAGGAGUCGAAACGCAUAUAUUUGUAUGGAACAAAGUUUGGGAUCACAGGAAAAUUUCUACUCAUCUGAAAUUUCAAGACAAAGAGAGUUAACUUUACAAUGGUGUAUUACAGCCUAUUUACAGAUAGCAGUUUGUUAGAAAUUGAGAGCACCUUAGUUCACCAACACAGACAAACAGUUAAGGUCAUGAUUUUCAGGAACCCAGAUUUACAUCAAGCAUGCAGUGAAAAUCUAUUAUUAGUGGUUUAUUGAGAUAAUAGAAAUCUGCAAGACUAAGGGUGAAGAUUUUUAGUGUCUUGUCAUUGACCUAAUCAAAUAAUCAUUACUUCUGAUAAGUGGCUGUGUUGCAGUAGCAGAAGAGAAUAAAAUGCCAGCAGACGUCAUACGGAAGCCUGAUCAAUCCUUGACAUUCAAAACUUUGAUGUCAUCAUUUGGUGAUCGACAAAACACGAUAUGAUCAACAAAGUAUAUUUGCAUCAAUGUUGUGGAGAAAUGGGGCAAUGAUUGCAAAGCUACUGCACUCAUCAUUAUAUAAUGAAAUACUUUUUUGUAAUAAAUGUAUGUAACAGUU